This 846-nucleotide long non-coding RNA is filed under the name Capsicum annuum. Its description in RNAcentral is "long non-coding RNA (CANN_LNC018794)". The record is from RNAcentral. Lineage: Eukaryota; Viridiplantae; Streptophyta; Magnoliopsida; Solanales; Solanaceae.
AUCACUUCAUUUCAAUUGAAAUUAUAUUAUUUUCUUAUUUAACCCGAAUCCGAUCCACUAAAUUAAAUUAAUUCAUAUCAAAUUACAUCUCCAAACCCAUAUCUCCAAUAGUCUUCAUACCUGUAUGCUUCCGAAGUUUCACCCAAUAAAAUAAAUUGCAUAUGAUAAAAUCGUGAUUAUAAAGGUCAAGACAUCCUUAUUAUUGUCAGUGAAAUGAGAUCCUUCUUCAUCACCACCCUUAUUAUAUUUCUUAUUUUCUUAGUUUUAGGUUUUCUGGGUAAUGCAUUUUGGGGGUAUGGUUUCCAUCCAUCUGGAAACGCUGCCUUUUUAUGCAGUUGGUCUUGGAGAUGAUUUUCUCCUCCACGUGCUUGAUGGGCCUGCUUUGAAGGUAGACAAAUUGAAGCUAUUGUAGAGGGUGCAUGUAUGGUUUUUUUUCAUUAUCCUAAUUAGGACUUCGGAAGUAUUCACGUCAUCAAAACUCCAUGGUGUUUUAAUGGAAGAAGGAAAUGAAGAAAAUUGAAGAGGUGGAUUUUGAGAUUUAAUUUGAUAUGAAUUUAUUAAAUAAGAAAAUUGAGUAAUUUUAAUUGAAAUUAGAUGAUUUUUAUUGAGAAUUUUGUUAACUUGAGAGGUAUAUAUGUUAAGUUUGUUAACGGCGGGAUAUAUUUAGCUUCAUAGUAUUAUGAAGGAUAAAUUUAGCUAAUUUUUAACCUUUUGAAGAUAAUAAAUGAACCGCACAUGUUUAGAUAUACACUUGAUUUUUUUUACUUUUUCAAUGCAUACAUGACUAUUAGAAUUUUCUAGAGCUUAGAUUGGUUUUAUUUUGAGGAUCUCAUAAACUCUUUCCGA